RNAcentral lists this unclassified non-coding RNA (1791 nucleotides) under Hevea brasiliensis (rubber tree). The record is from RNAcentral. Lineage: Eukaryota; Viridiplantae; Streptophyta; Magnoliopsida; Malpighiales; Euphorbiaceae.
GGGUUCUUGGUGGAUCCUAAAAGUUCACAUAUUUUAAAAGAUAUAUAUAUUUUUUUGAUAUACUAUAUUUUUAAAGAGUUGAAACUCCGGGAUAGUUGUGAAUGUGAUUGACAUAAUAUAAGCCAAUGUGUGUGCAUCUAAGCGUGUAUAUGUGUGUGUGUGUUUUCCCCCAAGGUGUUUGGUGAUGUGUGUUUUGAUGAAAUUCUGAUAUAUGGGUUUUGCUGGUUUAAGAGUGUAGUUUUGUAAAUAAGUUGAUGCUAUUCAAAAUUUGUUUCUUCUUUCAUAUAGCAGAUCGCUUCUUAGCUGAUAACCUGGUUCAGGGUCUGUCCUAAGUCCAGCUUUUGUUUAAAUGUGCUUGAUUACCAUCCUUAUUAUUUAUAGGCGCUUUCUACUAUAUUAAUGGUUUCUUUGUUUUUCCUUGCAAUGGGUUUAACCUAAUAUAAAUGCUUAUUAAAGAUAAAAUCUUUGUUUUAAGUUGGUCUUGUUAAUUAUAGCUGGACUAUCCUAUCCAAGUUGAUUUACAUGAAAAUUGAAAUAGCCUGAAAUAGCAGAAGUGGGAUUGGUUUGGAAAUUGGAAUAGAUUAUAUUUAUGCCAAUCAAAUCAGAACUAUCUAGUGUUUUCCUUCUUUGUUUGAUAAUAGGCAAGCUAAAUCUUUUGUGAUAAAUUUUUCUAUUUCUUAUGCUUGGAUUGUCCAAAUGGGCAGAGCCUGAACCAUUUGUUGUCAUCAGAAUGAUUAGGCUCUUUAAAAAUUGUCACCCACUAUGCUGCAUUUAUGGGUUAAAUGAAUGAGACAUGAAAUUAUAUGAUUGUUGUUAAAUGUGUCUAACCCAGGUUUAAGGCCUUUAGUGUUGAUUUUCAAUAGUAAUCUAUUUUAUACUCCCUCAUAGUUAGUUAAAUGGAUAUUCUAUUGAUCAGGUAAAUAGUUAUAACAAGUCUGGUACAAUUAUGUGAAACCAUGGUAAACACCCACUCUUGAAGCUAUAGUUUCAACUGAUGAGUGGAGCACAUAUCCACAUGAUAUAUAAUUUUGGGUGUAUGAGACAACCCAGUUUGUAGAAAUUUCCAUUUUUGAAGUUUUUAUAUCAUGGAAUAUUGAUGUUUCACUUACUUUUGUAGUUCAUGUAUUCUUAAAAUGAAAAUUCUUGGUUCUUAAAUUGGUAUGUAUGCAUUGGAUUACUGUUCUCAAGCAUUUUACUUUUGUAGUAGAGAUAUUGCCUUCUAGAAAAAUAAAUAUCGCCUCUCUGUUUGAUGGUUUGAUAUACAUUUGUCAUCAUAUGAUUCAUAGAAUUUGAAAUGUCAGUUAAAGUUGUAGAACCUUGUUGACAUUGCCAUAUUUUUCCAUUAGGCUAAAGAAGGAGAGGUGUCAAUGGUUGCAAAGCUUGCUGAUCCUGGCUAUGCACUUGAGCUGUCAACACCUGUUCCAACAAUUGGUUUAGUAAGUAUGAUCCUUGGCAUGCUAUUGAAUGGCUAGAUACUGAAUGCUUUUCAGCCUAAUGCGGCAUCUAUUGUAGACAUAUUAUGGACAGCCACUUAAUGUUCCAUGUUUUGUUGACCAAGCUGUAGUAUGCAGGUUUCAUACAUGAAUCAAAUUUCCUUUUCUUAGAUUCUUAGUGCUGUGGAUUUGGAAUGAUUGUUUUUAGAGGCGUUAAUUGGGGAUAAUGAUGAAACAAGAUAAUUUCUCCCCUCCCUCCCUCCUGGUUUUGUUAAGCUUUAUGACUAUCCUAACUUUGCAGCCAAGAGCAACCUUCAAAUUCCCCCUCGGUGAAGUUUCACUUGAGGAGAGAGAAGAU